Molecule: ribosomal RNA, 478 nt
Filed under: uncultured bacterium
Lineage: Bacteria
Description: partial 16S ribosomal RNA
Rfam family: Bacterial small subunit ribosomal RNA
Source: RNAcentral
GACGAACGCUGGCGGCGUGCUUAACACAUGCAAGUCGAACGGUAAGGCCCUUCGGGGUACACGAGUGGCGAACGGGUGAGUAACACGUGGGUGAUCUGCCCUGCACUUCGGGAUAAGCCUGGGAAACUGGGUCUAAUACCGGAUAGGACUCCUGGCUUCAUGGUUGGGGGUGGAAAGCUUUUGCGGUGUGGGAUGGGCCCGCGGCCUAUCAGCUUGUUGGUGGGGUAAUGGCCUACCAAGGCGACGACGGGUAGCCGGCCUGAGAGGGUGACCGGUCACACUGGGACUGAGAUACGGCCCAGGCUCCUACGGGAGGCAGCAGUGGGGAGUAUUGCACAAUGGGCGCAAGCCUGAUGCAGCGACGCCGCGUGAGGGAUGACGGCCUUCGGGUUGUAAACCUCUUUCAGCUAUGACGAAGCGCAAGUGACGGUAGUAGCAGAAGAAGGACCGGCCAACUACGUGCCAGCCGCCGCGGUAA